This 497-nucleotide ribosomal RNA is filed under the name uncultured bacterium. RNAcentral describes it as "partial 16S ribosomal RNA". It matches the Rfam family "Bacterial small subunit ribosomal RNA", at positions 28 to 507 of the family's 1533-position model. The record is from RNAcentral.
GAUGAACGCUGGCGGCGUGCCUAAUACAUGCAAGUCGAGCGAACAGACGAGGAGCUUGCUCCUCUGACGUUAGCGGCGGACGGGUGAGUAACACGUGGAUAACCUACCUAUAAGACUGGGAUAACUUCGGGAAACCGGAGCUAAUACCGGAUACUAUAUUGAACCGCAUGGUUCAAUAGUGAAAGACGGUUUUGCUGUCACUUAUAGAUGGAUCCGCGCCGCAUUAGCUAGUUGGUAAGGUAACGGCUUACCAAGGCAACGAUGCGUAGCCGACCUGAGAGGGUGAUCGGCCACACUGGAACUGAGACACGGUCCAGACUCCUACGGGAGGCAGCAGUAGGGAAUCUUCCGCAAUGGGCGAAAGCCUGACGGAGCAACGCCGCGUGAGUGAUGAAGGUCUUCGGAUCGUAAAACUCUGUUAUUAGGGAAGAACAAAUGUGUAAGUAACUAUGCACGUCUUGACGGUACCUAAUCAGAAAGCCACGGCUAACUACGUG